AUUGAACGCUGGCGGAAUGCUUUACACAUGCAAGUCGAGCGGCAGCGCGGGGGCAACCCUGGCGGCGAGCGGCGAACGGGUGAGUAACAUAUCGGAACGUACCCAGUCGUGGGGGAUAACUAUCCGAAAGGAUAGCUAAUACCGCAUACGACCUGAGGGUGAAAGCGGGGGACCGUAAGGCCUCGCGCGAUUGGAGCGGCCGAUAUCGGAUUAGCUAGUUGGUGAGGUAAAGGCUCACCAAGGCGACGAUCCGUAGCUGGUCUGAGAGGACGACCAGCCACACUGGAACUGAGACACGGUCCAGACUCCUACGGGAGGCAGCAGUGGGGAAUUUUGGACAAUGGGGGCAACCCUGAUCCAGCCAUUCCGCGUGAGUGAAGAAGGCCUUCGGGUCGUAAAGCUCUGUCGCAGGGGAAGUAACACAAUGAAGGUACCCUGUAAGAAGGAAUCGGCUAACUUCGUGCCAGCAGCCGCGGUAAU
RNAcentral lists this ribosomal RNA (480 nucleotides) under uncultured bacterium. RNAcentral describes it as "bacterial SSU rRNA". It matches the Rfam family "Bacterial small subunit ribosomal RNA", at positions 29 to 524 of the family's 1533-position model. The record is from RNAcentral.